AUCCGUGGCAGAUUACCACGUUAAUAGACGAGAGGUGUAAGCAACGCGAGUUGUUUAGCUUACUCGCACUAAUGAUC
RNAcentral lists this ribosomal RNA (77 nucleotides) under Candidatus Beckwithbacteria bacterium RIFCSPLOWO2_02_FULL_49_12. RNAcentral describes it as "partial 23S ribosomal RNA". Lineage: Bacteria; Candidatus Beckwithiibacteriota. The record is from RNAcentral.